GCCCCGGUAGCUCAGUUGGAUAGAGCAGCUGACUUCUAAUCAGCAGGUCGCACGUUCGAGUCGUGCCCGGGGUG
This 74-nucleotide transfer RNA is filed under the name Phycisphaerae bacterium. RNAcentral's name for it is "tRNA-Arg". It matches the Rfam family "tRNA". Rfam says of the family: Transfer RNA (tRNA) molecules are approximately 80 nucleotides in length. Their secondary structure includes four short double-helical elements and three loops (D, anti-codon, and T loops). Further hydrogen bonds mediate the characteristic L-shaped molecular structure. tRNAs have two regions of fundamental functional importance: the anti-codon, which is responsible for specific mRNA codon recognition, and the 3' end, to which the tRNAs corresponding amino acid is attached (by aminoacyl-tRNA synthetases). tRNAs cope with the degeneracy of the genetic code in two manners: having more than one tRNA (with a specific anti-codon) for a particular amino acid; and 'wobble' base-pairing, i.e. permitting non-standard base-pairing at the 3rd anti-codon position. The record is from RNAcentral. Lineage: Bacteria; Pseudomonadati; Planctomycetota; Phycisphaerae.